UGUCACGUGUUCUUCACUGUCAGAUGACGUCACUCACUUCCACGUCAGCUCCUCAUCCACUUCUCAUUAGUCUGACUAACUUUAAUCAUAGGUUAAGAAAACAAUGUAUUGUUGAUAACAUUGCAAUCUUUGUAUGAUUAUAGUGAUCUUCUUAUAAGGUUGUUAUGUGUUUUAGUUUUUGAUCUUUCUCCACAUUUUUUUCCUUUUCUAACUCUAUUGAUGAAAACUUUAUAAUAAUUUCGCUUACAUUGUUGUUACCCACAUGGAGAGAUGGAUGAUGGAUGGGCCAACAAACAAAUCCUCUGAUAUUUUUUGCUUGGU
Arabidopsis thaliana (thale cress) is the source of this 321-nucleotide long non-coding RNA. RefSeq annotates it as other RNA. The record is from RefSeq. Lineage: Eukaryota; Viridiplantae; Streptophyta; Magnoliopsida; Brassicales; Brassicaceae. The transcript has a single exon.